CAAAAAUAUCUGCACGAAGUGGGAUUCGAACCCACGCACCCAUACGAGUACCAGAACACCCAGUUAACCUCGAACUUGAGGCAAGCAAUGUACGCUUGAGUCUGGCGCCUUAGACCACUCGGCCAUCCGUGCUUCGAGAGUAA
This is a non-coding RNA of Caenorhabditis elegans, 143 nucleotides long. NCBI's taxonomy places the organism in Eukaryota, Metazoa, Nematoda, Chromadorea, Rhabditida, Rhabditidae. The record is from Ensembl.